RNAcentral lists this unclassified non-coding RNA (310 nucleotides) under plant metagenome. RNAcentral's name for it is "partial contains 5.8S ribosomal RNA, internal transcribed spacer 2, and large subunit ribosomal RNA". The stretch from base 1 to 105 matches the Rfam family "5.8S ribosomal RNA", at positions 50 to 154 of the family's 154-position model. The record is from RNAcentral.
GAAAUGCGAUAAGUAAUGUGAAUUGCAGAAUUCCGUGAAUCAUCGAAUCUUUGAACGCACAUUGCGCCUCCUGGCAAUCCGGGAGGCAUGCCUGUCCGAGCGUCAUUGCAACCCCUCAAGCGCGGCUUGUGUGUUGGGCGUCGCGUCCCCCGUGGACGGGCCCGAAAGGCAGUGGCGGCGUCGCGUACCGGUGCCCGAGCGUAUGGGUCUUAGUUAUCCGCUUAGGGGCCUGGCCGGUGCCUGCCUUAGCUAUCUUUAACUAUCUCGUGGUUGACCUCGGAUCAGGUAGGGAUACCCGCUGAACUUAAGC